AUAGCGUAUAUUAAAGUUGUUGCAGUUAAAAAGCUCGUAGUUGAAUUUUGGACCUGGCUGGGUGGUCUUGCCGCAAGGUAAGCACUGCUCUGGUCGGGUCUUUCUUUCUGGAACUCCUGCGUGCUCUUAACUGAGUGCGCAGGGUGAUCCAGGACUUUUACUUUGAAAAAAUUAGAGUGUUUAAAGCAGGCUUACGCUUGAAUACAUUAGCAUGGAAUAAUAGAAUAGGACUUUGGUUCUAUUUUGUUGGUUUCUAGGACCGAAGUAAUGAUUAAUAGGGAUAGUUGGGGGCAUUAGUAUUUAAUUGUCAGAGGUGAAAUUCUUGGAUUUAUGAAAGACUAACUUCUG
This 348-nucleotide ribosomal RNA is filed under the name uncultured eukaryote. RNAcentral's name for it is "SSU rRNA". It matches the Rfam family "Eukaryotic small subunit ribosomal RNA", at positions 594 to 945 of the family's 1831-position model. The record is from RNAcentral.